CAGCUCGGCUCCGCCUACCCCGCCCCAGCGCUUUGGGAUCUUACGCUUCCUCUCGCGAGGUUUGCCUGCGCUGCACCACAACCUGAGGACCACCCCUGGGUUCUGUCACAGCUCUCUCCCUGGUCCAUGCUGCUCCAAGACCUGCGCACCUCUCUCUCCGUGCGCCCCAGGUUUGCCGGCACCGCCCCCUACUCCACGACCGCCCAUGCUGCCCCCGUUCACCGCGCCGGAGACACGCCAGGUCAGGACGUUUGCGGAGAGGCCGGAACCUCCAGAGUCUGGGAACCCGGCCGCCCGAGGUGGGCCGUGGCCCAGCACCUCCAACCAGCGCCCACUGGUGCGGUCACCUGGUAGCGGAGGCCGGGGUAGCUGAACGUCGAGCGUGCCGGCACUCCUCUGCAGCCCGGACUUGGGAGGGUUUGGGGCGGACUAGGGAUCGAAGGCCUCUGCUUUUAGCGGGUCGGAGGUCAGCGGGAAAUUCCGAACUGCGAGAUGUUUUGGACUCAGCAGGGCUGAAUCUGAUUCCCACGGAGAAGAGCGGGCGGGCCCUUUGGCUCAACAUUGCUGAGAUUUGCAUACGCCUAUUUAAUAAACUUUACAAACUACUUUUGUCCAGAGAUAUCUGAAAAUUUCAACAGAAUAGCAGUUGUAUUUAAGGAAAAAAAAAAAUCAAGAGAUUGACCGGAAUCACAAGUAGGUACACGGCUUUCCUACAUGGAAUGGAAAACAAUAAAUGCACCGGAGUUGAGAGCUGAUGCAUAAGGUUCAUUUCGGCUGUCCUUAGGAGCUCAGUUGUGAUCGUUGACUACUGUCUGGAUGGUGGUUCAGGCUGGAGUUGAGUAACUGACAGCUCAGACCCGCGACAUUCACAAAACAGGACUUAAGGUUCUCAAAUGUUAUUUUUACUGAACUUUUGGGUGUCUCAAUGGGACAGCAACCAAGCAAGGUUCACAUUUGUUUACUUUUCGUUAACGAACAUACAGGCAGUAACAGUUUUGAUUAGAACAAUUUAUAUAUCGAAGUUCUUCAUUGUUAUAUGCCACGUUUUAAAACAUUUUCUCAUAUUUUUCUUUAUGCAUGUUGGCUGUACUUUUCAUUAAUAGCACCUUUCCCCAACAAUGUCGAGUACGAAUAAGAAAGGGAGCUAGAGAAUGGAGUGACUGAGGCUGUCAGGAGAUGAUGACAGUUACUGGAUGUACAUCUAGGUUUACCUCAAUCCAGUACUUCAUCCCCGAGCCGCUAAAUACCUGUGAACACAGUGGAAAUGUGACGUUAAUGGACCAAAAGAUUCAAAAAGAAGCCCCCAAACUGAGUCCUCUAAACCCCCACAAAGGGGCCAGGGGCUGUUUUCAGUCUAUUAUAAAAGCUAAAGAAAUCCUGCUAGAAACACAGGGAUGGUAAAGUUGCACUUACUAGAUCUACAGUUUCCUUUGUUGUCUCAGAAUUAACUCAAAGUUAUGCUGAUCAGAGCUCUGAUGGUCUCAGCUGUGGUAAAAAGAGGGACAAUGUGGUUGGCAGAUAAAAUCUCUUCAUGUACAAUGGGAGUGGGAGGCAGGGCAGAGUGGGCUAAUGGUGAAAAAUGAGGAAACCAUUCAUUUGAAAAGUUCGGAUGUCUCAGUAGUCUUUAACAGUAUAUAUUUGGACUACCUUAAAACAUAGCUUCUCAAUCUAUUUGCAGGUCUUCCUUCUCUACUAAAAUAUUCAGGUUAAACAAUCAUCUGACUUAAUUUGAAUAUUAGCUCUUCAGUGAUUUUUUCUAGAUAAGUGUAAUAAAAAGGAUUCUAAAUCUCA
Long non-coding RNA from Phyllostomus hastatus (greater spear-nosed bat), 1791 nucleotides. RefSeq lists it as uncharacterized. The transcript is spliced from 2 exons. NCBI's taxonomy places the organism in Eukaryota, Metazoa, Chordata, Mammalia, Chiroptera, Phyllostomidae. The record is from RefSeq and is a predicted model, not a curated record.